Molecule: transfer RNA, 69 nt
Filed under: Gryllotalpa sp. YH-2020
Lineage: Eukaryota; Metazoa; Arthropoda; Insecta; Orthoptera; Gryllotalpidae
Description: tRNA-Met
Source: RNAcentral
AAAAAGGUAAGCUAAGUAAGCUUUACUGCCACUAGCUACCAGUAUAGAAAACUACCCUUCUCCUUUUUA